This 253-nucleotide ribosomal RNA is filed under the name uncultured bacterium. RNAcentral describes it as "partial 16S ribosomal RNA". It matches the Rfam family "Bacterial small subunit ribosomal RNA", at positions 524 to 776 of the family's 1533-position model. The record is from RNAcentral.
GACGAAGGAUGCAAGCGUUAUCCGGAUUCAUUGGGUUUAAAGGGAGCGUAGGUGGCCUUAUAAGUCAGUGGUGAAAUCUCUGGGCUUAACCCAGAAAUUGCCAUUGAUACUGUAGGGCUUGAGUACAGCUGCUGUGGGCGGAAUAUGACAUGUAGUGGUGAAAUACAUAGAGAUGUCAUAGAACACCGAUUGCGAAGGCAGCUCACAAAACUGUAACUGACACUGAGGCUCGAAAGUGCGGGGAUCAAACAGG